CCCUUAGAUGUUCUGGGCCGCACGCGCGCUACACUGACAGGAGCAACGAGUGCUUCCUGCACCGGAAGGUGUGGGUAAUCUUUUGAAAUCCUGUCGUGCUGGGGAUAGAUCUUUGUAAUUUUCGAUCUUGAACGAGGAAUUCCUAGUAAGCGCAAGUCAUCAGCUUGCGUUGAUUACGUCCCUGCCCUUUGUACACACCGCCCGUCGCUACUACCGAUUGAAUGGUUUAGUGAGGCCUCGGGAUUGCUGCAUCUGGCGCUGGCAACAGUGCUGAUGCGACGAGAACUUGGUCAAACUUGAUCAUUUAGAGGAAGUAAAAGUCGUANCA
Molecule: ribosomal RNA, 328 nt
Filed under: uncultured eukaryote
Lineage: Eukaryota
Description: partial 18S ribosomal RNA
Rfam family: Eukaryotic small subunit ribosomal RNA
Source: RNAcentral